UACGUAGGGUGCAGGCGUUAAUCGGAAUUACUGGGCGUAAAGCGUGCGCAGGCGGUUUGUUAAGACAGGUGUGAAAUCCCCGGGCUUAACCUGGGAACUGCGCUUGUUACUGGCAGACUUGAGUGUGGCAGAGGGGGGUGGAAUUCCAGGUGUAGCAGUGAAAUGCGUAGAGAUCUGGAGGAACACCGGUGGCGAAGGCGGGAUCCUGGGCCAGUACUGACGCUGAGGAGCGAAAGCGUGGGGAGCAAACAGG
RNAcentral lists this ribosomal RNA (253 nucleotides) under uncultured bacterium. Its description in RNAcentral is "partial 16S ribosomal RNA". It matches the Rfam family "Bacterial small subunit ribosomal RNA", at positions 524 to 776 of the family's 1533-position model. The record is from RNAcentral.